CCGUAGGGACCAGGAGCGGGACCGAUGCGCCCGCAGUGACACCGCGUGUGCCUGCGCUGCGCCACCCGGGACCGCUACAGCCACCCGCAAGGACAGAGAGUCUGCGAGAAGCACAAAGCCUGCAUCCAAAAUGCCACGUUCCUUCCUGGUCAAGAAGCAUUUCAAUUCAUCCAAGAAGCCGAAUUACAGCGAGCUGGACACUCAUACAGUGAUUAUAUCCCCAUACCUGUACGAAAGCUAUCCAGUCCCUAUCAUACCACAGCCAGAGAUCCUGAGCUCAGUAGCUUACAAUCCCAUUACUGUGUGGACUACAACUGGGCUGCUACCGUCUCCAUUACCCAAUGACCUCUCUCCACUUUCUGGAUACCCCUCAUCUUUGGGAAGAGUCAGCCCACCUCCACCUUCUGACACCUCCUCCAAAGAUCACAGCGGUUCAGAAAGCCCCAUUAGCGAUGAAGAAGAGAGAAUCCAGUCAAAGCUUUCAGACCCUCAUGCAAUUGAAGCCGAAAAGUUCCAGUGCAGUUUGUGCAACAAGACCUAUUCGACUUUCUCUGGGUUGGCCAAACACAAGCAGCUGCACUGUGAUGCCCAGUCUAGGAAAUCGUUCAGCUGCAAGUACUGUGACAAGGAGUAUGUCAGCCUGGGAGCGCUUAAGAUGCACAUCAGGACCCACACGCUACCUUGUGUCUGCAAGAUCUGCGGCAAGGCUUUCUCUAGACCCUGGCUACUUCAAGGACACAUUAGAACUCACACUGGAGAGAAGCCAUUUUCCUGUCCUCACUGCAACAGAGCUUUCGCAGACAGAUCCAAUCUGAGGGCUCAUCUGCAGACCCACUCAGAUGUGAAGAAAUACCAGUGCAAAAAUUGCUCCAAAACUUUCUCCAGAAUGUCUCUUCUGCACAAACAUGAGGAAUCUGGCUGCUGUGUAGCACACUGAGUCAUGCAGUCAAUGUUUACCUGGACUUGAUGCAUUUCUCCACUUCUGUUCCAAAUGAUAAGUGGAAAUCCAAAGGCAUUUUCUCAUCUAUUUUUCAGCCAAAAAUAAAAAAAAAAAGCCAAACCAAAAAACAAAGAAACCAAACCAACACACCACCAAACAAGCAAACAAAUAAACAAGCGGAAGAACUUAGAAUGUCAGUAGAAAUGAGCUUUAAGUAGUUUCUGUUCUGCCAUACAUUUGCAUUCUUAAGUGUGAAUUCUGAAAUAGGGGGAAAGAUGCCAUGCAUGACAUUUCAAGUAGAUCUAAAGGAAGAAGCAUUAUCAGCUUUCUUUAUAGAUGAAGCCAAAUGUAGGUCAUCUUUUCUUGCUUAGAAAAGGCUUCAAAGUUAACAAUACAUUCCUGCCAAGCCAUUUCAACCAAAGAAACAGUAUUUUAAGUGGAAAUUUUAAUGAAAAUACUACCCAAGUGAAUUUUGCUAGACACCAUUUAUCUCAGGUGCCUUAAAAAGUAUUCCAAGUUUACCUUAGUAAAUGUUUAAUAUUAUUCAUUGCUGUGUUUUUUUUUUUAUUUUAUUAGAAGCCAAGGCCUUCAUUAAUGACAUGAAAUGCUUUAAAACUGCAUAACUAAAAGAGGGAAAAAAGUAUAAGAGAAUGUACGAAAAAAUUAAAAGCCACAAAUUAACCGCAUGUGCCUUAGAAAAUAAAUUUAAAAAAGACAAUACUGUAGCUUCAAACAUUCCUGGUGCAUGCUUGACCAUCCUUUAAUAUGGAAUAGUUCCACUAAACUUCAUUUUUGUUUUAAAAAACGGGAAUAAGUGCAAGAGAGGGGAUCCACGGGAGUUUUACAAUUAUUUUUUUUAAAUGCACAAAGGAAAUGCAAUAUUUUCAGCAUUACCCCUCCAAGUGCCUUUUUUAUUGAUGAUUUUGUAAAAUAUGUCGACAUAAUGUAAAUAUUUUUAUUUUUAUAUGAUUGAAUGUGUUAUGAAUGAAAGCAAAUUGUUGCCCAUAGCAGCAUCUAUAGAUAACUUGAAGAAAGUGUGAAGUGAAAUUGAUGUUGUUUUCUAGCCACUUUUUUACAAUAAACAUUUUUAAGUAAAAAAAAAAAA
This is an RNA transcript of Vidua macroura (Pin-tailed whydah), 2045 nucleotides long. It is a transcript of the gene named snail family transcriptional repressor 2, with no coding region annotated. The transcript is spliced from 4 exons. NCBI's taxonomy places the organism in Eukaryota, Metazoa, Chordata, Aves, Passeriformes, Viduidae. The record is from RefSeq and is a predicted model, not a curated record.